RNAcentral lists this ribosomal RNA (206 nucleotides) under uncultured bacterium. RNAcentral's name for it is "partial 16S ribosomal RNA". It matches the Rfam family "Bacterial small subunit ribosomal RNA", at positions 568 to 774 of the family's 1533-position model. The record is from RNAcentral.
AGCGUAGGCGGACAUUUAAGUCAGGGGUGAAAUCCCGGGGCUCAACCUCGGAAUUGCCUUGAUACUGGGUGUCUUGAGUAUGAGAGAGGUGUGUGGAACUCCGAGUGUAGAGGUGAAAUUCGUAGAUAUUCGGAAGAACACCAGUGGCGAAGGCGACACACUGGCUCAUUACUGACGCUGAGGCUCGAAAGCGUGGGGAGCAAACA